AGCGAACGCUGGCGGCAGGCCUAAAACAUGCAAGUCGAACGAAACCUUCGGGUUUAGUGGCGGACGGGUGAGUAACACGUGGGAACGUGCCUUUUGGUUCGGAACAACUCAGGGAAACUUGAGCUAAUACCGAAUGUGCCCUUCGGGGGAAAGAUUAUCGCCAUUAGAGCGGCCCGCGUCUGAUUAGCUAGUUGGUAGGGUAAAGGCCUACCAAGGCUACGAUCAGUAGCUGGUCUGAGAGGAUGAUCAGCCACACUGGGACUGAGACACGGCCCAGACUCCUACGGGAGGCAGCAGUUAGGAAUCUUGCGCAAUGGGCGAAAGCCUGACGCAGCCAUGCCGCGUGAAUGAUGAAGGUCUUAGGAUUGUAAAAUUCUUUCGAGCG
Molecule: ribosomal RNA, 385 nt
Filed under: uncultured bacterium
Lineage: Bacteria
Description: bacterial SSU rRNA
Rfam family: Bacterial small subunit ribosomal RNA
Source: RNAcentral